RNAcentral lists this ribosomal RNA (253 nucleotides) under uncultured bacterium. RNAcentral's name for it is "partial 16S ribosomal RNA". It matches the Rfam family "Bacterial small subunit ribosomal RNA", at positions 524 to 776 of the family's 1533-position model. The record is from RNAcentral.
UACGUAGGGAGCAAGCGUUGUCCGGAAUCAUUGGGCGUAAAGCGCGCGUAGGCGGCUCGAUCAGUCUGUUGUGAAAGUCAAAGGCUCAACCUUUGAAUGCCGAUGGAUACUGUCGAGCUAGAGUCCGGAAGAGGCGGGUGGAAUUUCUGGUGUAGCGGUGGAAUGCGCAGAUAUCAGGAGGAACACCAACGGCGAAGGCAGCCCGCUGGGACGGUACUGACGCUAAGGCGCGAAAGCGUGGGGAGCGAACAGG